GGGAAGGUGGCUCAAUGGUAAGAGUGCUUGUCUUGCAUGCAAGAGGCCCUGGGUUCAUUUUCUCA
RNAcentral lists this transfer RNA (65 nucleotides) under Dipodomys ordii (Ord's kangaroo rat). It matches the Rfam family "tRNA", at positions 1 to 62 of the family's 71-position model. Rfam says of the family: Transfer RNA (tRNA) molecules are approximately 80 nucleotides in length. Their secondary structure includes four short double-helical elements and three loops (D, anti-codon, and T loops). Lineage: Eukaryota; Metazoa; Chordata; Mammalia; Rodentia; Heteromyidae. The record is from Rfam by way of RNAcentral.